UACGGAAGGCAGCAGUGGGGAAUAUUGCACAAUGGGCGAAAGCCUGAUGCAGCUAUGCCGCGUGUAUGAAGAAGGCCUUAGGGUUGUAAAGUACUUUCAUCGGGGAGGAAAAAACAAAACUAAUAAUUUUAUUUCUUGACGUUACCCGAAAAAGAAGCACCGGCUAACUCCGUGCCAGCAGCCGCGGUAAUACGGAGGGUGCUAGCGUUAAUCAGAAUUACUGGGCGUAAAGAGCACGUAGGUGGUUUUUUUAAGUCAGAUGUGAAAUCCCUGGGCUUAACCUAGGAACUGCAUUUUGAAACUGAAAUACUAGAGUAUCGUAGAGGGAGGUAGAAUUCUAGGUGUAGCGGUGAAAUGCGUAGAUAUCUGGAGGAAUACUUGUGGCGAAAGCGGCCUCCUAAACGAAUACUGACACUGAGGUGCGAAAGCGUGGGGAGCAAACAGGGAUUAGAUACCCGU
This 459-nucleotide ribosomal RNA is filed under the name uncultured bacterium. RNAcentral's name for it is "bacterial SSU rRNA". It matches the Rfam family "Bacterial small subunit ribosomal RNA", at positions 340 to 789 of the family's 1533-position model. The record is from RNAcentral.